GCGGCGGCGGCGGCGGCGGCCCGGAGCCCCCGAGCCCCCGGCAGGUGCGCCUGCCCUUCCCCGCGAUCUGAUUGGAUACAGUGGGGGCUCGACGGUGGCCGCCGUGGGACAGUGCGGCGGCGGCAGGGGUCUCGGAAACCAUGGGUUAUUGCAGCGGCAGGUGCACGCUCAUCUUCAUCUGUGGCAUGCAACUGUUGAAAAUGGAACGUGGAUGGGAGCAUCAUGAUUCUAAACUUUUUUUUUUUCUCUGAUAAACAAAGUGCUUUUCAGUUUUAAAUGCCUGCCAUAGUAAGUAUUUUAUUUGGCUACUUGAAAAAAUAGUACAUGUUAAAUGAUGAAGAAUAUCAAGAUUCUUCAGUCUGAUGAUGUGCAUUGGUAAUAUUGGAUGUCAAAGGUUGGCUUAGGCUCUUCUCUGGAAAUAGUUGAGAGUGGCCCAUGUUAGUUCUGUCUACCACCUAAAAAG
RNAcentral lists this long non-coding RNA (463 nucleotides) under Vulpes vulpes (red fox). RNAcentral describes it as "lncRNA (ENSVVUG00000000426.1)". The record is from RNAcentral. Lineage: Eukaryota; Metazoa; Chordata; Mammalia; Carnivora; Canidae.